GAUGAACGCUGGCGGCGUGCCUAAUACAUGCAAGUCGAGCGAACAGACGAGGAGCUUGCUCCUUUGACGUUAGCGGCGGACGGGUGAGUAACACGUAGGUAACCUACCUAUAAGACUGGGAUAACUUCGGGAAACCGGAGCUAAUACCGGAUAAUAUUUCGAGCCGCAUGGUUCGAUAGUGAAAGAUGGCUUUGCUAUCACUUAUAGAUGGACCUGCGCCGUAUUAGCUAGUUGGUAAGGUAACGGCUUACCAAGGCAACGAUACGUAGCCGACCUGAGAGGGUGAUCGGCCACACUGGAACUGAGACACGGUCCAGACUCCUACGGGAGGCAGCAGUAGGGAAUCUUCCGCAAUGGGCGAAAGCCUGACGGAGCAACGCCGCGUGAGUGAUGAAGGUCUUCGGAUCGUAAAACUCUGUUAUUAGGGAAGAACAAACGUGUAAGUAACUGUGCACGUCUUGACGGUACCUAAUCAGAAAGCCACGGCUAACUACGUG
RNAcentral lists this ribosomal RNA (497 nucleotides) under uncultured bacterium. RNAcentral's name for it is "partial 16S ribosomal RNA". It matches the Rfam family "Bacterial small subunit ribosomal RNA", at positions 28 to 507 of the family's 1533-position model. The record is from RNAcentral.